GACAGGGUUGCCAUACAAAUAAUGCAUUCACACUGAAGACUACACUAAUUGGGAUGAAAUACAUCUAGACAUGGCUGUAGUUCAAUCAGUACCUUGGUUGUGGAAGGAGAGGUGUCGAAUGGGAGGGAAAAGAGACCGUCCGAUGUUCACGGGAUCUGCGUUUGCCUGAAACACUGAGCGAGAUGACCUGUGGCCUGUCUGCAGUUUCCUGGUGUUACUAUGGAGUUAUCGGUGAUGGUCUUGACAGGGUUGCUGUUGCUCACAAGAAUCUGAAAGGCGGUGGCCAGGACCAUGCUACGAAGAACUGGCAAGAAAAGAUUGAGGAGGUGCGCGUGCUGGCGACCAGCUUCACCUCCUCGUACAUGCAGAGGAGCUGCUCGUCUUCGGGGGCCACGUACACAGGCAUGAUGGUCUCUUUGCGUAAGGCUCUGCUCUCACUCACCAUGAACGUCUGGAGGGGAAGGCAGGUCACAGUUUUCGAAAACAGUGCUCGCUUGUAAAGUUGAAAUAGACUACAAGAUUCAUCAAUGUCCUUUUUCCUGUCGCCAGGGCUUUUUUGAACGACAAAAGAGAGAUACGGUUGAAUUGAAAACAUCUUCUUUCAGGGGGCACAGCGGAGAUGUUCUGAGGCAGCAGGAUGAGCACCGCGGCGGCUUUCUGCCUCUGCGCCUCGACGUACUGCUCCGUGGUGA
This is a long non-coding RNA of Hypomesus transpacificus, 692 nucleotides long. RefSeq lists it as uncharacterized. Lineage: Eukaryota; Metazoa; Chordata; Actinopteri; Osmeriformes; Osmeridae. The record is from RefSeq and is a predicted model, not a curated record. The transcript has 5 exons.